RNAcentral lists this ribosomal RNA (615 nucleotides) under uncultured bacterium. Its description in RNAcentral is "bacterial SSU rRNA". It matches the Rfam family "Bacterial small subunit ribosomal RNA", at positions 338 to 950 of the family's 1533-position model. The record is from RNAcentral.
CCUACGGGAGGCAGCAGUGAGGAAUAUUGGACAAUGGGCGCAAGCCUGAUCCAGCCAUGCCGCGUGCAGGAUGACGGUCCUAUGGAUUGUAAACUGCUUUUGUACAGGAAGAAACACCUCUACGUGUAGAGACUUGACGGUACUGUAAGAAUAAGGAUCGGCUAACUCCGUGCCAGCAGCCGCGGUAAUACGGAGGAUCCAAGCGUUAUCCGGAAUCAUUGGGUUUAAAGGGUCCGUAGGCGGUUUAGUAAGUCAGUGGUGAAAGCCCAUCGCUCAACGGUGGAACGGCCAUUGAUACUGCUAAACUUGAAUUAUUAGGAAGUAACUAGAAUAUGUAGUGUAGCGGUGAAAUGCUUAGAGAUUACAUGGAAUACCAAUUGCGAAGGCAGGUUACUACUAAUGGAUUGACGCUGAUGGACGAAAGCGUGGGUAGCGAACAGGAUUAGAUACCCUGGUAGUCCACGCCGUAAACGAUGGAUACUAGCUGUUGGGAGCAAUCUCAGUGGCUAAGCGAAAGUGAUAAGUAUCCCACCUGGGGAGUACGUUCGCAAGAAGAGAACGUACGAAGAAGUAGUAGACGAGAGAGAGCGACGACGACGACGACGGAGGGAGGAG